Molecule: ribosomal RNA, 481 nt
Filed under: uncultured bacterium
Lineage: Bacteria
Description: partial 16S ribosomal RNA
Rfam family: Bacterial small subunit ribosomal RNA
Source: RNAcentral
GAUGAACGCUGGCGGCGUGCCUAACACAUGCAAGUCGAGCGAAGCGCUUAAAUUAGCUUUCUUCGGAAUGACGAUUUUUGUGACUGAGCGGCGGACGGGUGAGUAACGCGUGGGUAACCUGCCUCAUACAGGGGGAUAACAGUUAGAAAUGACUGCUAAUACCGCAUAAGACCCCAGCUUCGCAUGAAGCGGUGGUAAAAACUCCGGUGGUAUGAGAUGGACCCGCGUCUGAUUAGCUAGUUGGUAAGGUAACGGCUUACCAAGGCGACGAUCAGUAGCCGACCUGAGAGGGUGACCGGCCACAUUGGGACUGAGACACGGCCCAGACUCCUACGGGAGGCAGCAGUGGGGAAUAUUGCACAAUGGGGGAAACCCUGAUGCAGCGACGCCGCGUGAAGGAUGAAGUAUUUCGGUAUGUAAACUUCUAUCAGCAGGGAAGAAAGUGACGGUACCUGACUAAGAAGCCACGGCUAACUACGUG